GACGAACGCUGGCGGCGUGCUUAACACAUGCAAGUCGAACGGAAAGGCCCUGCUUUUGUGGGGUUCUCGAUUGGCGAACAGGUGAGAAUCACGUGAGUAACCUCCCCCUGACUUUGGGAUAACUUCACGAAACUGGGGCUAUUAUCCGAUAGGAUCUCCUGCUGCGUGGUGGGGGUUGGAAAGUUUCGGCGGUUGUGGAUGGACUCGCGGCUUAUCAGCUUGUUGGUGGGGUAGUUGCUUACCAAGGCUUUGACGGGUAGCCUGCCUGAGAGGUGAGACGGCGACCAUGGGCCUGAGGUACGGACCAGACUCCAACGGUAGGCAGCAGGGGGAAAUAUUGCACAAUGGGCGGAAGUCUGAUGUAGCAACGCUGGGUGCGGGAUGACGGCCUUCGAGGUGUAAACCGAUGUCGCAGGUGACGAAGCGUGAGUGACGGUAAUGGGUAAAGAAGCAACGGCUAACUACGUG
This 468-nucleotide ribosomal RNA is filed under the name uncultured bacterium. Its description in RNAcentral is "partial 16S ribosomal RNA". It matches the Rfam family "Bacterial small subunit ribosomal RNA", at positions 28 to 507 of the family's 1533-position model. The record is from RNAcentral.